UUAAGUUCAGCGGGUAGUCCUACCUGAUUUGAGGUCACAUUAAUGAAAAACUGUCCAAGUCAAUGGACUGUUAGAAGCUGAACUGCCUCACGUCAAUAGCGUAGAUAAUUAUCACACCAAUGAACGGUCAACAAAUUGUUCCGCUAAUACAUUUUAGGGGAGCUGACCUCUUGAAAAGACCAGCAAAAAGACCCCCACAU
RNAcentral lists this unclassified non-coding RNA (200 nucleotides) under Cortinarius sp. Its description in RNAcentral is "partial internal transcribed spacer 2". The record is from RNAcentral. Lineage: Eukaryota; Fungi; Basidiomycota; Agaricomycetes; Agaricales; Cortinariaceae.